AACGAACGCUGGCGGCAUGCCUAACACAUGCAAGUCGAACGAGACCUUCGGGUCUAGUGGCGCACGGGUGCGUAACGCGUGGGAAUCUGCCCUUGGGUUCGGAAUAACAGUUGGAAACGACUGCUAAUACCGGAUGAUGACGUAAGUCCAAAGAUUUAUCGCCCCAGGAUGAGCCCGCGUAGGAUUAGCUAGUUGGUGAGGUAAAGGCUCACCAAGGCGACGAUCCUUAGCUGGUCUGAGAGGAUGAUCAGCCACACUGGGACUGAGACACGGCCCAGACUCCUACGGGAGGCAGCAGUAGGGAAUAUUGUACAAUGGGCGAAAGCCUGAUCCAGCAAUGCCGCGUGAGUGAUGAAGGCCUUAGGGUUGUAAAGCUCUUUUACCCGGGAUGAUAAUGACAGUACCGGGAGAAUAAGCUCCGGCUAACUCCGUG
RNAcentral lists this ribosomal RNA (433 nucleotides) under uncultured bacterium. Its description in RNAcentral is "partial 16S ribosomal RNA". It matches the Rfam family "Bacterial small subunit ribosomal RNA", at positions 29 to 507 of the family's 1533-position model. The record is from RNAcentral.